This 162-nucleotide unclassified non-coding RNA is filed under the name uncultured Penicillium. Its description in RNAcentral is "sequence contains ITS2". The record is from RNAcentral. Lineage: Eukaryota; Fungi; Ascomycota; Eurotiomycetes; Eurotiales; Aspergillaceae.
CUGCCCUCAAGCCCGGCUUGUGUGUUGGGUCUCGUCCCCCUUCCCGGGGGACGGGCCCGAAAGGCAGCGGCGGCACCGCGUCCGGUCCUCGAGCGUAUGGGGCUUUGUCACCCGCUCUGUAGGCCCGGCCGGCGCUUGCCGAUCAACCAAAACUUUUUUCCA